RNAcentral lists this ribosomal RNA (407 nucleotides) under uncultured bacterium. RNAcentral's name for it is "bacterial SSU rRNA". It matches the Rfam family "Bacterial small subunit ribosomal RNA", at positions 29 to 426 of the family's 1533-position model. The record is from RNAcentral.
AACGAACGCUGGCGGCGCGCCUAAUACAUGCAAGUCGAGCGAGAAGACGUAGCAAUACGUUUGUAAAGCGGCGAACGGGUGAGGAAUACAUGGGUAACCUACCCUCGAGUGGGGAAUAACUAGCCGAAAGGUUAGCUAAUACCGCGUACGCUCCUUGGACUUCGGUUCAGGGAGGAAAGCGAUACCGUGGGUAUCGCGCUCUUGGAUGGGCUCAUGUCCUAUCAGCUUGUUGGNGAGGUAACGGCUCACCAAGGCUUCGACGGGUAGCUGGUCUGAGAGGACAAUCAGCCACACUGGCACUGCGACACGGGCCAGACUCCUACGGGAGGCAGCAGUAAGGAAUAUUGCGCAAUGGGCGAAAGCCUGACGCAGCGACGCCGCGUGGGGGAUGAAGGUCUUCGGAUUGU